Molecule: non-coding RNA, 629 nt
Organism: Nothobranchius furzeri (turquoise killifish)
Lineage: Eukaryota; Metazoa; Chordata; Actinopteri; Cyprinodontiformes; Nothobranchiidae
Source: RefSeq, a predicted model, not a curated record
CGAAGACUCCUUCAAAUGCGGUCGACGAAUCCGGCCUUCUUUUCGCCUGAAUGAAGGAUGGGUCCGGUGUAUCCUUCAAUAGGUAGCAUUUCCCAAGAUGCCUUGCGGGCCGGCCGGCAGAAAAACUUAAAAACAAUGGCGGACAGUGAAGCGGGAGCUGUCGGAGAGGAUUGCGCAUAUAAAUGAACAAAAGAGAAAACCAGGGAAUUUAUUAAGCUUAGGGCGGAGAUGGACCACAUGUUCACCGGAGCAAAGUAUUCGGCGGCUGUGGCAUGGAGGUACAAUAACAUCUCAUAUUUUAAAAACUCAUUUGAGUUUAUUUUUUUUUCUGCGAAAACAUGAAAGGAAUAACCCGUUGUCCUCUUUUCUCUAUCUGUUUUUUUUCUUACAUGUUUGUUAGGACUAUUCUGGAGAAAAUGAGCAUCCAGGGGAAGGUGACAGCGAUGACCAGCUUCUGGAGCUGAUCAGGGAGGACACGAGGCUGCAGAGGGAGGCAGAGCAGCAGAGGGCACAGGAGAGAAGGGAGAACUUUGACAGCUUUUUACUUUGCUAGAAAAAAAUGGUUAAUAAAGAUUAAACAUGUACAUAUAAAAGAAAUAUCUAAAUAAAAUCAGUUCUGCAUUAAACUC